CAAAGGCAUGGUCCCGACCUUAUUGUCAGCUCUAACGCAACUUACACAUGUUAGUAUCCGCAGUCCAGUGAGUAUACCCUCAACCCCCCGCCCGGAGAAGAGGAGUGGGCAUCAGGCACAAUUUCUUUAGCCCAAGACGCCUAGCCAAGCCACACCCCCAAGGGAAUUCAGCAGUGAUAGACAUUGAGCAAUAAGUGAAAACUUGACUCAGUCAGCAUUUAAGAGAGCCGGUAAAACUCGUGCCAGCCACCGCGGUUAGACGAGAGGCCCAAGUUGACAAUACUACGGCGUAAAGGGUGGUUAGGGAAAUCUUUAUGAUAAAGCCAAAUGGCCCCUUGGCCGUUAUACGCUCCUGGGCAUCAGAACCCCAAUCACGAAAGUAGCUUUAGAAAACCCGCCUGACCCCACAAAAGCUGAGGAACAAACUGGGAUUAGAUACCCCACUAUGCUCAGCCGUAAACCAAAACACUACAUCACAAUCCUAGUUCGCCAGGGUACUACGAGCAUUAGCUUAAAACCCAAAGGACCUGACGGUGCCUCAGACCCCCCUAGAGGAGCCUGUUCUAGAACCGAUAACCCCCGUUAAACCUCACCACUCCUAGCUAUCUCAGCCUAUAUACCGCCGUCGUCAGCUUACCCUGUGAAGGUAAUAAAAGUAAGCAAAAUGGGUAUAACCCAAAACGUCAGGUCGAGGUGUAGCGCACGAAGUGGGAAGAAAUGGGCUACAUUUUCUAAUGCAGAACACACGAAUUUGCAUCAUGAAACAAUGCUUGAAGGAGGAUUUAGAAGUAAAAAGGAAGCAGAGUGCCCUUUUGAACCCGGCUCUGAGGCGCGUACACACCGCCCGUCACCCUCCCCCGUCGCCAGACACAUAAUGUAUUUAACACUAUAGCAUAGACAAGGGGAGGCAAGUCGUAACACGGUAAGUGUACCGGAAGGUGCACUUGGAUCAAACCCA
This 958-nucleotide non-coding RNA is filed under the name Psilorhynchus sucatio (river stone carp). RNAcentral's name for it is "12S rRNA". It matches the Rfam family "Bacterial small subunit ribosomal RNA". The record is from RNAcentral. Lineage: Eukaryota; Metazoa; Chordata; Actinopteri; Cypriniformes; Psilorhynchidae.